CACGUAGGGCGCAAGCGUUGUCCGGAAUUAUUGGGCGUAAAGAGCUCGUAGGUGGUUUGUUACGUCUGCUGUGAAAACCUAGGGCUUAACCCUGGGCUUGCAGUGGAUACGGGCAGACUAGAGUGCGGUAGGGGAGAUUGGAACUCCUGGUGUAGCGGUGGAAUGCGUAGAGAUCUGGAGGAAUACCGGUGGCGAAGGCGGCCCCCUGGACAAAGACUGACGCUCAGGUGCGAAAGCGUGGGGAGCAAACAGG
RNAcentral lists this ribosomal RNA (253 nucleotides) under uncultured bacterium. Its description in RNAcentral is "partial 16S ribosomal RNA". It matches the Rfam family "Bacterial small subunit ribosomal RNA", at positions 524 to 776 of the family's 1533-position model. The record is from RNAcentral.